Molecule: ribosomal RNA, 505 nt
Filed under: uncultured bacterium
Lineage: Bacteria
Description: partial 16S ribosomal RNA
Rfam family: Bacterial small subunit ribosomal RNA
Source: RNAcentral
GACGAACGCUGGCGGCGUGCCUAAUACAUGCAAGUAGAACGCACAGUUUAUACCGUAGCUUGCUACACCAUAGACUGUGAGUUGCGAACGGGUGAGUAACGCGUAGGUAACCUGCCUGGUAGCGGGGGAUAACUAUUGGAAACGAUAGCUAAUACCGCAUAAUAUUAAUUAUUGCAUGAUAAUUAAUUGAAAGGUGCAAUUGCACCACUACCAGAUGGACCUGCGUUGUAUUAGCUAGUAGGUGAGGUAACGGCUCACCUAGGCGACGAUACAUAGCCGACCUUGGAGGGGGAUCGGCCAAACUGGGACUGAGACACGGCCCAGACUCCUACGGGGGGCAGCAGUAGGGAAUCUUCGGCAAUGGACGAAAGUCUGACCGAACAACGCCGCGUGGGUGAAGAAGGUUUUCGGAUCGUAAAGCUCUGUUGUAAGAGAAGAACGGGUGUGAGAGUUGAAAGUUCACACUGUGACGGUAUCUUAACAGAAAGGGACGGCUAACUACGUG